Mastomys coucha (southern multimammate mouse) is the source of this 168-nucleotide small nuclear RNA. RefSeq annotates it as U1 spliceosomal RNA. The transcript has a single exon. NCBI's taxonomy places the organism in Eukaryota, Metazoa, Chordata, Mammalia, Rodentia, Muridae. The record is from RefSeq and is a predicted model, not a curated record.
GAUCAUACCCAGCAGGGUUGAUACCACCGUCACGAAGGUGGUUUUCCAAGGACAAGCCUUUGCCAUUGUAGUCUAGUUGUGCCAACACUUAUGAUUUCCCCAAAGGUGCCAAGUGUGGGGCACUGACUGCAUAACUUGUCUUAGUGAAAACCUGAAUUCACAUUUUUC